GAUGAACGCUGGCGGCGUGCCUAAUACAUGCAAGUCGAGCGAACGGACGAGAAGCUUGCUUCUCUGAUGUUAGCGGCGGACGGGUGAGUAACACGUGGAUAACCCACCUAUAAGACUGGGAUAACUUCGGGAAACCGGAGCUAAUACCGGAUAAUAUUUUGAACCGCAUGGUUCAAAAGUGAAAGACGGUCUUGCUGUCACUUAUAGAUGGAUCCGCGCUGCAUUAGCUAGUUGGUAAGGUAACGGCUUACCAAGGCAACGAUGCAUAACCGACCUGAGAGGGUGAUCGGCCACACUGGAACUGAGACACGGUCCAGACUCCUACGGGAGGCAGCAGUAGGGAAUCUUCCGCAAUGGGCGAAAGCCUGACGGAGCAACGCCGCGUGAGUGAUGAAGGUCUUCGGAUCGUAAAACUCUGUUAUUAGGGAAGAACAUAUGUGUAAGUAACUGUGCACAUCUUGACGGUACCUAAUCAGAAAGCCACGGCUAACUACGUG
Molecule: ribosomal RNA, 497 nt
Filed under: uncultured bacterium
Lineage: Bacteria
Description: partial 16S ribosomal RNA
Rfam family: Bacterial small subunit ribosomal RNA
Source: RNAcentral